GAACUCGAUGUCCCGGCAGUACACAAGCUAAAAUUAGAACGACACCAAGAGGAUUAGUAUGGCCCCUAUUCAAGGAUGACACACAAAUUCAUAAAGCGGUCAUUCUUAUU
This is a small nuclear RNA of Octopus sinensis (East Asian common octopus), 110 nucleotides long. The record is from RefSeq and is a predicted model, not a curated record. Lineage: Eukaryota; Metazoa; Mollusca; Cephalopoda; Octopoda; Octopodidae.